RNAcentral lists this ribosomal RNA (807 nucleotides) under uncultured bacterium. RNAcentral describes it as "bacterial SSU rRNA". It matches the Rfam family "Bacterial small subunit ribosomal RNA", at positions 563 to 1378 of the family's 1533-position model. The record is from RNAcentral.
AAGAGUUGCGUAGGUGGCAAUGUAAGUUAGUAGUGAAAGCGUCCCGCUCAACGGGAUAAACAUUACUAAAACUACAUAGCUUGAGUAUGGGAGAGGUAGAUGGAAUUUCUAGUGUAGGAGUGAAAUCCGUAGAUAUUAGAAGGAACACCGAUGGCGUAGGCAGUCUACUGGCCCAUUACUGACACUAAGGCACGAAAGCGUGGGGAGCGAACGGGAUUAGAUACCCCGGUAGUCCACGCUGUAAACUAUGGAUGCUAGCUGUUAGAAGUAUCGACCCUUCUAGUAGCGAAGCUAACGCGUUAAGCAUCCCGCCUGUGGAGUACGAGCGCAAGCUUAAAACAUAAAGGAAUUGGCGGGGUCUCGCACAAGCGGUGGAGCGUGUUGUUUAAUUCGAUGGUAAACGAAGAACCUUACCCAGGUUUGACAUCCUGCGAAUUUCUCCGAAAGGAGAAAGUGCUUUUACUAGAGCGCAGUGACAGGUGUUGCAUGGCCGUCGUCAGCUCGUGUCGUGAGAUGUGUGGUUAAGUCCAUCAACGAGCGCAACCCUUAUAGUUAGUUGAAUUUCUCUAGCUAGACUGCCCCGGUAACGGGGACGAAGGAGGGGAUGAUGUCAGGUCAGUAUUACCCUUACAUCUGGGGCUACAAACACGCUACAAUGGCCGGUACAAAGGGCAGCCAACCCGCGAGGGGGAGCAAAUCCCAUCAAAGCCGGUCUCAGUUCGGAUUGCAGGCUGAAACUCGCCUGCAUGAAGCUGGAAUCGCUAGUAACGAGUAGGUCAGCUAUACUACCGUGAAUACGUUCCCGAG